RNAcentral lists this ribosomal RNA (253 nucleotides) under uncultured bacterium. RNAcentral's name for it is "partial 16S ribosomal RNA". It matches the Rfam family "Bacterial small subunit ribosomal RNA", at positions 524 to 776 of the family's 1533-position model. The record is from RNAcentral.
UACGGAGGGGGCUAGCGUUGUUCGGAAUUACUGGGCGUAAAGCGCACGUAGGUGGCUUUGCAAGUCAGAGGUGAAAGCCCGGGGCUCAACCCCGGAAUUGCCUUUGAGACUGCAUCGCUAGAAGAUCGGAGAGGUAAGUGGAAUUCCGAGUGUAGAGGUGAAAUUCGUAGAUAUUCGGAAGAACACCAGUGGCGAAGGCGACUUACUGGACGAUUCUUGACACUGAGGUGCGAAAGCGUGGGGAGCGAACAGG